RNAcentral lists this transfer RNA (74 nucleotides) under Actinomyces capricornis. RNAcentral describes it as "Actinomyces sp. MAS-1 tRNA-Arg". It matches the Rfam family "tRNA". From Rfam's summary of the family: Transfer RNA (tRNA) molecules are approximately 80 nucleotides in length. Their secondary structure includes four short double-helical elements and three loops (D, anti-codon, and T loops). Further hydrogen bonds mediate the characteristic L-shaped molecular structure. tRNAs have two regions of fundamental functional importance: the anti-codon, which is responsible for specific mRNA codon recognition, and the 3' end, to which the tRNAs corresponding amino acid is attached (by aminoacyl-tRNA synthetases). tRNAs cope with the degeneracy of the genetic code in two manners: having more than one tRNA (with a specific anti-codon) for a particular amino acid; and 'wobble' base-pairing, i.e. permitting non-standard base-pairing at the 3rd anti-codon position. The record is from RNAcentral. Lineage: Bacteria; Bacillati; Actinomycetota; Actinomycetes; Actinomycetales; Actinomycetaceae.
GCCCCGGUAGCUCAGUGGAUAGAGCGUCUGCCUCCGGAGCAGAAGGUCGCAGGUUCGAAUCCUGUCCGGGGCAC